ACAGGAGGAGGCAGGUAGCUGGGUCCAGGGGCAGGCAGAAGGUCAUACACAGGAGGAGGCAGGUAGCUGGGUCCAGGGGCAGGCAGAAGGUCAUACACAGGAGGAGGCAGGUAGCUGGGUCCAGGGGCAGGUAGCUGGGUCCAGGGGCAGGUAGCUGGGUCCAGGGCCAGGCAGCAGGUCAUACACAGGGGAGGCACAAACACUGGCACAGACACAUGCAUACACACACACACACACACACACACACACACACACACACACACACACACACACACACACACACACACACACACACACACACACACACACAUGGAUGUAGUAAUGUAGAU
This is a long non-coding RNA of Oncorhynchus tshawytscha (Chinook salmon), 329 nucleotides long. NCBI's taxonomy places the organism in Eukaryota, Metazoa, Chordata, Actinopteri, Salmoniformes, Salmonidae. The record is from Ensembl.